Molecule: ribosomal RNA, 253 nt
Filed under: uncultured bacterium
Lineage: Bacteria
Description: partial 16S ribosomal RNA
Rfam family: Bacterial small subunit ribosomal RNA
Source: RNAcentral
UACGUAGGGGGCAAGCGUUGUCCGGAUUUAUUGGGCGUAAAGAGCGUGUAGGCGGCCAAACAGGUCAGCUGUGAAAACUCGAGGCUCAACCUCGAGACGUCGGUUGAAACCGUUUGGCUAGAGUCCGGAAGAGGAGAGUGGAAUUCCCGGUGUAGCGGUGAAAUGCGCAGAUAUCGGGAAGAACACGCGUGGCGAAGGCGGCUCUCUGGGACGGUACUGACGCUGAGACGCGAAAGCGUGGGGAGCGAACAGG